AAGAUAAAUAUAACUCAAUAAUAAAUGCUAUUGAUAAAUACAAAGAGAAUGAUAAGUAUAUACAUAAAACAGCCUAACAAACAAAAGAUAAGCAUUAUUAACACAUUUUACUAAGUAAGCAAUCUUAAGGAAUAUUAUCUUUAACACCACGGUCAAACCAACCUAAAUCAGAACUGAAGCAGGUUCCAAGUGCCUUCUUUGGCUAUCAAAACUUAUUGGAAUGCUUUGCCCAGCUGGCCAACAUUUUUUCCAUUGUAUUCAAUGUUUAUAUUACACCCCUUUCCUCUUACAGUCUGUCAACUUCAAGAUCUAGGAUGGAAAUGUUGUUACUUGUUGCGGCCAUUUGAUCGAGAACCUUACUUUCAUUUGUUUCUCUCGGGCUCUCUUUUUACUCGGGAGCUUAUUUGUUACUUUUUUACAUGUAAUAUAUAGACAUUGUAGAGAUAACUAUGAAUGACCCAGAUCAUGCGUAUGUCUAAGAGCAUGUUUGGUAUGCUUUUCUAAAGGCCCAGAAACAGAGUUAAGCCAUACCGUUUGACAUUGUUUGGUUUAUGGGCUUGGAUAAUGCUUACCGUUUCUUAGGUGUAACCUACUCCACCUAUCUGUUACCACUCAUAACCCAACAAAAACAAAUACCUCUCCAGUUUUCUAAACAUCGUACUAGUUCUUUCAUCUCUCUCUCCCUCUAUGUCUCUCUCCUCUUCAAUCUUUCCCAGUCUCUCAGUCAAAUUGGACUUUAAUUUGUUCAGUAUAUUUGUUCUCAUUAUCUGAUUUAAGUUAUCCGAGAAUCCCAAUAACAUCUUCUGAAAUUUCGGUGUUAAGAUUCUUGAAUUUGAAUCUGGGCAAAAGAAAUUGGAAAUUUGCAAAACUGGUGUACUUUACUUUGUACGAACAACUUAAGGGCCUUCUUGGAUCUGAUGUUGUGGUGCAUUAGUAGAUGGGAAUCAACAACUUUCAGUGGGUGCAAAUAUGAUUGCGGCUUCUAGAGCUGGUGUUUCUACAGUCACUAUUACAAAUCCUCUUUGGGUUGUAAAGACGAGAUUUCAGGUUUUUUAAUAGUAUUCAAGAAAUGUUCCGCCGUGUAAGUGAGCAGUUCACUGCCAUGUUCCGUAGAAAGGCCUUCUUGCAUUGGUACACUGGCGAAGGAAUGGACUAGAUGGAGUCCACUAAAGCAGAAAGAAACAUGAAUGAUUUAGUUUCUGAGUACUAGCAAUGCCAGGACGCAACUAAUGAGGAGGAUAAAUACGGAGAUGACGAGGAGGAAUUCCUGGAGGAUUAAGAAAAAGAAUUGAUGGGUUAGACAACUUAUCUACUUGUGAAAUACAUACAAUUGUUGCUGGAGUCUUAAAAGUAUUGUAUUAGUAUCUACAUUUUCUAUAGAUUAGAAUUUUGUUGUUAUACAGAUGUAAUAUGUUAUCUUGUGGGAUUUGAGGUUACAUUAUUUGGUUAAAUAUUGGUGAACUUCAUAGUGUCA
Spinacia oleracea (spinach) is the source of this 1474-nucleotide long non-coding RNA. RefSeq lists it as uncharacterized. The transcript has 3 exons. The record is from RefSeq and is a predicted model, not a curated record. NCBI's taxonomy places the organism in Eukaryota, Viridiplantae, Streptophyta, Magnoliopsida, Caryophyllales, Amaranthaceae.